UACGGGGGGGGCAAGCGUUGUCCGGAUUUACUGGGCGUAAAAGGUUCGUAGGUGGCUCGUCCAGUCGAGCGUGAAAUCUCCCGGCUCAACUGGGAGAGGUCGUUCGAUACUAGCGGGCUCGAGGUCGGUAGAGGGAAGCGGAAUUCCGGGUGUAGUGGUGGAAUACGUAGAUAUCCGGAGGAACGCCGGUGGCGAAAGCGACACACUGGAUCUUGUCUGACGCUGAGGCACGAAAGCCAGGGGAGCGAACGGG
This 253-nucleotide ribosomal RNA is filed under the name uncultured bacterium. RNAcentral describes it as "partial 16S ribosomal RNA". It matches the Rfam family "Bacterial small subunit ribosomal RNA", at positions 524 to 776 of the family's 1533-position model. The record is from RNAcentral.